UGACAGUGACUGCUAACUCCUUCAGUGC
This 28-nucleotide small RNA is filed under the name Bombyx mori (domestic silkworm). RNAcentral describes it as "piRNA piR-bmo-1787976". Lineage: Eukaryota; Metazoa; Arthropoda; Insecta; Lepidoptera; Bombycidae. The record is from RNAcentral.